AUGAACGCUGGCGGCGUGCCUAAUACCUGCAAGUCGCGCGAACAGACGAGGAGCUUGCUCCUCUGACGUUAGCGGCGGACGGGUGAGUAACACGUGGAUAACCUACCUAUAAGACUGGGAUAACUUCGGGAAACCGGAGCUAAUACCGGAUAAUAUAUUGAACCGCAUGGUUCAAUAGUGAAAGACGGUUUUGCUGUCACUUAUAGAUGGAUCCGCGCCGCAUUAGCUAGUUGGUAAGGUAACGGCUUACCAAGGCAACGAUGCGUAGCCGACCUGAGAGGGUGAUCGGCCACACUGGAACUGAGACACGGUCCAGACUCCUACGGGAGGCAGCAGUAGGGAAUCUUCCGCAAUGGGCGAAAGCUUGACGGAGCAACGCCGCGUGAGUGAUGAAGGUCUUCGGAUCGUAAAACUCUGUUAUUAGGGAAGAACAAAUGUGUAAGUAACUAUGCACGUCUUGACGGUACCUAAUCAGAAAGCCACGGCUAACUACGUG
Molecule: ribosomal RNA, 496 nt
Filed under: uncultured bacterium
Lineage: Bacteria
Description: partial 16S ribosomal RNA
Rfam family: Bacterial small subunit ribosomal RNA
Source: RNAcentral